This 16182-nucleotide long non-coding RNA is filed under the name Panax ginseng (ginseng). Its description in RNAcentral is "long non-coding RNA (PGIN_LNC002894)". The record is from RNAcentral. Lineage: Eukaryota; Viridiplantae; Streptophyta; Magnoliopsida; Apiales; Araliaceae.
AGGUAGAGGAAGAGAAGAAGAGGAAUCCAAGUCAAGCUAGCAAGAAAUUUCACAAGCAAGGAGAAUAAUAAGCCAAACUAAAGAGGUAUAACCCUAAAUCCCUCCUUUAUUUAAAUUUUCAUGUAAGACAACUAGAUAUAUGUUAGUAAACAUGUAUCACACUUAUAUACAUCUAUAUAUGUUGGAUCAUGGUGAUAAAUAACUUAGAUGAUGGAAAAAUGGUCAAGGAAAGCAAGAAAACCUAGAAAGGAACUAAACUAGUUUUGGUCAAAAGGGAAAAAUCUGACCUAAAAAUGUAACGAGCUUAACUUUUUGUAUAUUUCUAAUAUUUGGGUGAUUCCAAUUUUUUGUGAUAGAUAUGGAAGUUAUCUAAAUUUUUGCCUUGAUUUGAGGCCUAAAUUCCAUGCAUAUUAUUUUUGAUGGAAUUUCUACUGAAACAGUGCAAGCUAUUGAACAAAUUGAACUUUUUUUUAUGUGAACUUUUUUGGAUGCUUAACUUACCUGAAAAAUUACAGGCCUCUGGCAUAUGAAAGCUAUAGGCAUAGGGAAGGUCCUGUCCAAAAAUAAACAAAAUUGGAAUUAAAACAAAGAAGUUAUGGCCAAAACAAAAAAAAAUUGCACGGAAACUCGACAAGUUAAGUUCGUUAAUUCCAAUUGGGUUGAAAUUUUGGGAGUAAGCUCACAUAGAUACAUGGUAGGUUCUGUCCAAAAUUCUUAAUUUUUGGUCGUAAGCUUGAAUACUUUUAAUUGCUAAGUUUACGAAAGAAAUUAACCCAAAAUAAAUACUAAAAAUAAUUUGAAAAAUUUGGAGAAAUCGAAAAGGAUCUAAAAUGAAGUUAUCUAAGCAAAGACGGAAAGGGAAAAAAUAAUAAAUUGGUUAAGAUUGAUUUAUUGAAGAAGAUGGAAAACAAGAAAAAAUGGAAAAAAUAAUUUGAAUUGCCAGUAAAGCGUAAAACGUAAUGUAUAGGUAAAAACAUGUUAAAUAAUACAUAUAAAUAUAAGUAAGUGGAAAAAUAGUAAAUUUAAUACUUAAAACUAUAAAAUAAAUUUAGUUAAUACUUUGAAACAAGUUACGAUACCCGAAAUUAUCAUAACGAAAGUCUGUAUAGUUACCGACGGGAACUAUUGAAGGAAUUACUUAAGAAAGUUAUUAUAAAUGAUGUAGGGAAUCAUUUGUUAGUAAAACCUUAAAGGAAAUUAUAUAUAUAUUUAUAUGAACUUAUCUUGUAGAAAGUAAUAUGUCAAGGCUUAUACUUGGUACUAUGUCCUUAAGACAAUUAUGCCCUCCGUAUGGUGCUCAGAGUUGAUAGCACUUGUCUCCCAGGAUACAAUGACUUCGUAUACCUUAGCAGCACUACAAAAGGUAUACACAACGAACCAAAAGAAAUGCUCUAACUCUCUCUCAAAAAUACUAAGGAAACUGAUGAAAAAACUAUAUGCUACAAUGCUUUAGAAGACUAGAAUGCUUGAGAAAAUUGGAUGGAAAUAAAGGCUGCCGCUCCUAUCUAUUUAUAGGAGGGUUGGUGACCCUUUGGAUGGGUACAUCACCCAUGAAAAGGCAUGGGGUGCCUCUUGAAGAGGUAUUAUUUGUAUCUGUUGGUUAAAACGGCGUAGUUUUGACCAUAUACAGAAUAGGCACAUCUAUUCGGUUUAUUAAAACGACGUAGUUUAAGUGUUAGCAGAACCAAAACUACUUAGGUUUAGGCUUAGAAGAAAAGUCGCGACAAAAACAAUGCAGUUUAGGGCCGCCCGUUCAACCUUACAAAUACCGCUUCCUCAAAACGACACAGUUUUGAUAAUACCAUUUCUUAAAACAACACAGUUUUGAUAAUAUAAUAAAUACAGCUUUUAAAACGACACAGUUUUGAUAAUAGAAUUAAAUAAAUAAAAUUUAAAUAAAUUUUGUCUAAAAAAUUAUAUACAGGAUCCAGACCCAGACCCAGACCCACGACCCACGUGCCAAAGACAGGCCCGUGCGUGGGUUCGAACCUAGCCUUGGCUAGGUCCUCUCCCUUCCAUAAAAGUGGGGUGCCCCUUGGGUCCCAAACCCAAGAGCACUUUCCUUGUAUAUAAACAUAUAAAAUAUUUAAUUCCGAACCUAUGCGGGACUUGGUUUUUCCCACAUGUAUUUAUUAUCUUUUAUCAUGAUCUUUGGGAGUUAAUAUCUCAUUCAUUACUCCAUGGAUUUGAGCUUCCAAAUACUUAAUUUAAUCUACUCAUGGAGUAGAACACAUUAAUAUAUGAAAUCAUUAAAAUUAAUUAAUGACACCUAUUUAAUUUAGGCUUAAAUUCCAACAAUCCCCCACAUGAAUGAUAUUGACUUCCAGUCUUAUGCAAAUGUUAUGCAGACUCUGAGAGGGAGACAGAGAUAGAAUUAGAAAUCAUUUGUAUCGAGAGAGGUAGCUUUUGGCUUUGAACCUUCCCUUGUGAAAAACUAUCGGGUUUACUGGUUGUCCAGUGAACGUGAUGUCUUGAAUUGUCCAAUCGUUUGUGUAAAUCGAGACAAUAGUAAUUCACACAGAAUCUUUCUAGACAUUAUUUGGUUCUUUUGAUUUUGUUCAUUUUGGCCCCGAACAAUCCCGGAUUUAUGAGUCAUUUAGAGAUAUAUAGCCUUAUCCUUCUAAUAGAAUUGGCCCAGUUCACACUCAUAUAGGUGAUUCUUAAUAAGAGUAUCUUUCCAUACUCCACAUGUUUAUCAAGAUUUAAGAAUCAUUAAAAGCAAAUCUUAUCCUGUAACCGUUACAGGUAUCACUAUCUCGUAUCAUAGGAAUGAGCAGAAGAAAUUAAUUUCUUCAUAGUGAUUUGGUUGAAUCAUUCACAAUUUAGUUGUCCCUUUGAACCUAGAUCUUGGGAUCUCUAGUCAACUAGGUUGGGUUUCCAUCAUGAUGAUCCUUGUUUAUAGGCUUUAAACCCAUUCCCCUCGAAGUUAUUUUUACUUGCUCUCUAGUCAAACCUUUAGUCAACGGAUCCGCUAUAUUUUCUUUCGACUUUAUGUAUUCAAUAGACAUAAUGCCGUUAGAGAGCAAUUGUUUAUGGUAUUGUGUCUACGACGAAUAUGUCUAGACUUACCAUUAUACAUGUGACUCUAUGCCCUUCCAAUUGCUGAUUGACUAUCACAAUGAAUACAAAUAGGCGACAUAGGUUUAGGCCACAUAGGAUAAUCUUCUAAAAAGUUACGAAGCCAUUCAGCUUCUUCUCCAGCCUUAUCCAAUGAAAUAAACUCAGAUUCCAUCGUUGAUCGAGCAACGCAUGUCUGUUUAGAAGAUUUCUAAGAUACUGCUCCUCCACCUAGUGUAAACACAAAACCACUUGUGGAUUUAGAGUCUUUUGUAUCCGAUAUCCAACUCGCAUCACAGCAUCCUUCAAGUACUGCUGGAUAUCUUGAGUAGUGCAAUCAAAAAUUUUGAGUGUAUUUUAAAUACCUCAAUACUCUUAUAAUCGCUUUCCAGUGAUCUUAUCCUGGAUUGCUUGUAAAUCUACUCAAUUUAUUGACAGCUUGUGUUAUGUCAGGACGUGUACAAUUCAUUAAGUACAUAAGGCUUCCAAUUAUUUGUGCAUACUAAGGUUAUGAUAUGCUCUCUCCUUUAUUUUUAGACAAGUGUAGAUUUAUAUCUACCGGUGUUCCCACAGUAUUACAAUCAUAUUGAUUGAAUUUCCUAAGUAUUUUCUCAAUAUAUUGUGAUUGUGAUAACACUAAUCCAUUCGAUGUUUUAGAAAUCUUAAUUCCUAAUAUUACAUCGGCAACACCCAUGUUUUUCAUGUCAAACAUAUUAUUUAACAUUCUUUUAGUAGUUUUAAUGAUAUCAUUAUUACUACCCAUAAUGAGCAUAUCAUCUACAUAAAGACAAAUAAUAACAUACCCAUUCUUAGUGUCCUUGACAUAUACACAUUUGUCACACUCAUUUAUUUUGAAACCAUUUGAUAACAUUGCAUUAUCAAAUUUUUCAUGCAAUUGUUUAGGUGCUUGUUUCAAUCCAUAAAGAGAUUUUACAAGCCGAUAAACUUUCUUUUCUUGUCCUGGAACAAUAAAUCCUUCUGGUUGUUCCAUGUAUAUUUCUUCUUCUAAAUCUCCAUUUAAGAAAGCUGUUUUACAUCCAUUUGAUGUAUUUCUAAAUUAUAUAUAGCUGCAAUUGCUAUUAACAUCCUAAUUGAGGAUAUUCUUGUCAUAGGAGAAUAAGUAUCAAAAUAAUCCAAACCUUCCUUUUGCCUGUAUCCUUUGAUUACAAGUCUUGCUUUAUAUUUGUCUAUAGAUCCAUCUGCUUUCAUUGUCUUCUUGAAUAUCCACUUAUAUCCUAGAGGUUUAGAGCCUGGUGGGAGAUCUACUAAUUCCCAUGUAUGAUUAUGCAAAAUGGAUUCCACUCCACUAUUUAUAGCCUCUUUCCAAUAUGGAGCUUGAGGACUCGAUAUUGCUUCUUUAUAGGUUUGAGGCUCAUUUUCUAACAAAUAGGUUAGAAAAUCUGGACCAAAAGAUUUUGAUGUUCUAGAACGUUUACUAUGUCUAGGUUCAUCAAUAUCUUCUAAACCAUGAUUACUAUCAUUAACAGCAUCAUAAGUUCUUUUAUUUGAACUUGUUUCUUGUUCAUUAGAACUUGGCUCUUGUUCCUUUUUAUUAGGAAAUACUGUUUCAAAGAAUUCAGCAUCUUUUGACUCAAUAAUCAUAUUUUCAUGUAUUUCCUCUAUUUUUGAUUUAUUAACCAAAAAGCUAUAUGCACUGCUAUUAUUAGCGUAACCAAUGAAUAUACAAUCUAUUAUUUUUGGUCUUAUUUUCACCUUUUUGGGUGGAGGAACCAUUACUUUUUCUAAACACCCCCACACUUUUAAGAGUUUUGUAAGACGGCUUACGUCCUUUCCAUAAUUCAUAGGGUGUAACAUUAGACUUCUUUUGAGGUAUUCAGUUGAGAAUAUAAUUUGCUGAAAGAAUUGCUUCCCCCCACAAAUUCUGAGGUAGCCCAUGAACUUAAUAGCAAUGCAUUCAUCAUUUCUUUUAAAGUUAUAUUCUUUCUUUCUGCAACACCAUUUUGUUGUGGUGAAUAAGGUGCAGUUGUUUGGUGUAUUAUACCAUGUUGUGAACAAAUUUCAACAAAUGGAAAUUCAUAUUCCCCACCUCUAUCACUUCUAACUAUCUUGAUCUUUUUAUCAAGUUGAUUUUCAACCUCAUUUUUAUAAUGUUUAAACAUUUCCAAAGCCUCAUCUUUACUUCUCAAUAAGUAAACAUAACAAUAUCUUGUACAAUCAUCUAUAAAAGUGAUAAAGUAUUUCUUACCUCCUAUUGUUUGUAUAUACUUUAAAUCACAAAUAUCAGUAUGUAUUAAUUCAAGAGGUUCUGUACUUCUUUCAAUUGAUUUAAAAGAAGAUUUCCUAAGUUUUUCCUCAAUGCAAAUUUCACAUUUAUGAUUAGAGUUAAUCUCACAUUUUGGCAAACAUUCCAUAUUAAUUAAUCUACGUAUAGUAUUAUAAUUAACAUGUCCUAAUCUACCAUGCCAUAAAUUAGAUGACUCAAUCAUAUAAGCAGAAGAUGUAAUUUUAUUAAUAUUGGAAGGUACAACAGUCAUUACAUUCAUUUUGAAGAGCCCAUUGCUCAUAUAACCCUUCCCCACAUACAUCCCAUUUUUAGUUAAUACAAAUUUGUCUGAUACAAAGACUAGUUUAAAUCCCUUUUGACUAAGAAGGGAUCCUGACACUAAAUUUUUCCUAAUAUCAGGCACAUGGAGCACGUUGUUGAGGGUGAGUUCCUUGCCAGAUGUCAUCUUCAGAAUCACCUUUCCUUGUCCAGCUAUCUUUGAUGAAGAAGAAUUUCCCAUGUAUAGAUGUUCUCCAUUCUCAAUUUCUUGAUAUGUGGAGAACAUCUUCCUGUCGGAACACACGUGGCGGGUUGCUCCAGUAUCCACCCACCAUUCUCUUGGAUUCUCAACCAUAUUUAUUUCUGAAACAACCGCUGAAAGGUUCAUUUCAGAAACAUCUUGAAGAAGACUAUCCACUUCCGUUACAUUGGCUUGUGCAGACUUCUUGUUCUGGUCUUUGCGUUUUCGACAAUCCUUUGCCCUAUGUCCGGGCUUGUCACAGAUGUAGCAUUUGCCUUGGAACUUUUUAUUUGUUCCCUGCUGAGGCCCAUUCCCGGAGAAUUUCCUCUUUUUGGACUUCGGACCUUGUUCCACCACGUUUGCUUUAUAUUCUACAAAGGCCCUUCCUUUUUUCUUUUCAAAGGCACGGUUGUCCUCUUCUAUCCUUAAUCUUACGAUUAAGUCUUCAAGUUUCAUCUCUUUGCGUUUAUGCUUGAGAUAAUUUUUAAAAUCUUUCCACAUAGGUGGUAGUUUUUCUAUAAUAGCAGCAACUUAGAAAGAUUCACUUAGAGACACACCUUCUGCAUGUAUUUCAUGCAGGAUUACCUGUAAUUCUUGGACUUGGUUGAUGACUGCCUUGGAAUCCACCAUUUUGUAGUCCAAAAACCUGCCAACUACGAAUUUCUUCGUGCCAGCAUCUUCUAUUUUAUACUUUUUAUCCAAGGAAUCCCAUAAUUCUCUUGUUAUUUUGAGAGAACUAUACACAUUGUAUAAUGUGUUAUCCAAUCCAUUAAGGAUAUAAUUUCGGCACAAAAAAUCUGCAUGUUUCCAUGCAUCUAUUGCGGCAACAACUUGCCGGUCUGUUUUAUCUUCUUUGAGCACAAGGGGAUCUUCGUGAAGAAACCUCGCCAAGUUCAAAGUUGUGAGAUAAAAUAUCUUUUGUUGCCAUCUUUUAAAUUCUGUUCCAUUGAACUUUUCUGGUUUUUCACCAUGGUUCACAGGAACAUUUGGUAUAGAAGAUGUAGAAGAAGAACCAAUUAUAGUAGCAGAAUUGGUAUCCAUAUUUGUUGCAAAUAUAUAUACAUAAUAAUUGUCUUAAGAUUGUUAGUAAAUCCUUAAAGGAAAUUAUAUAUAUAUUUAUAUGAACUUAUCUUAUAGAAAGUAAUAUGUCAAGGCUUGUACUUGGUACUAUGUCCUUAAGACAAUUAUGUCCUCCGUAUGGUGCUCAGAGUUGAUAGCACUUGUCUCCCAUGAUACAAUGACUUCAUAUACCUUAGCAGCACUACAAAAGGUAUACACAACAAACCAAAAGAAAUGCUCUAACUCUCUCUCAAAAACACUAAGGAAACUGAUGAAAACUAUAUGCUACAAUGCUUUAGAAGACUAGAAUGCUUGAGAAAAUUGGAUGGAAAUGAAGGCUGCCCCCUCCUAUCUAUUUAUAGGAGGGUUGGUGACCCUUUGGAUGGGUACAUCACCCAUGAAAAGGCAUGGGGUGCCUCUUGAAGAGGUAUUAUUUGUAUAUGUUGGUCAAAACGACGUAGUUUUGACCAUAUACAGAAUAGGCGCAUCUAUUCGGUUUAUUAAAAUGACGUAGUUUAAGUGUUAGCAGAACCAAAACUACUUAGUUUUAGGCUUAGAAGAAAAGGCGCGACAAAAAUGACGUAGUUUAGGGCCGCCCGUUCAACCUUACAGAUACCGCUUCCUCAAAAUGACACAGUUUUGAUAAUACCGUUUCUCAAAACGACACUGUUUUGAUAAUAUAAUAAAUACAGCUUUCAAAACGACACAGUUUUGAUAAUAGAAUUAAAUAAAUAAAAUUUAAAUAAAUUAUAUACAGGACCCACGACCCAUGUGCCAGAGCCAGGCCGGACGGACGGUGGCGGCAGCGCGCGCGUGUGGGUUCGAACCUAGCCUUGACUAGGUCCUCUCCCUUCCACAAAAGUGGGGCGCCCCUUGGGGCCCAAACCCAAGAUCAUUUUCCUUGUAUAUAAACAUAUAAAAUAUUUAAUUCCUAACCUAUGUGGGACUUGGUUUUUCCCACAUGUAUUUAUUAUCUUUUAUCAUGAUCUUUGGGAGUUAAUAUCUCAUUCAUUACUCCAUGGAUUUGAGCUUCCAAAUACUUAAUUUAAUCUACUUAUGGAGUAGAAUACAUUAAUAUAUGAAAUCAUUAAAAUUAAUUAAUGACACCUAUAUUAAUUUAGGCUCAAAUUCCAACAUCAUUCAGAAAUGAAAAGCGGCCCUAAGGGGAGUACUUUCGUAUCAGGCAAGUUCCCUAGCUAUGCUAUUCCUUUUAGUUGUUCAAAUUUUAAGCUUGUGUGCAAGUUCCUUACUACGCAAGUGCUUUAAAUUAUGCAAAAUAUCUAGCUUAUGCUAGUCUUUUAAAUCGUGAAUUUUCCUAGAUUCUUGUUUUAUUUCAAGUUUUCGCACUCUCGUGCACUUAAACUACGCCCAUUAAUAACACUGUAGAUUGUUCCGAAAAGCUUCUUCGAUCAUAUAUAAAAGAAGUUUAUGCUAUUUGUUCAAUUAAAUUCAGUUGAUGUGCUUUUACCAAUUUAUUGAGCUAUAGUAAUCAUUUGGAGAUGAUCUAAUCCAAUCCAAUCCAAAUUGCUUUGGUGUGGAUUCUGAGACUAAAAUUAAGUAUGAACAACCCUGAUAAAGGGGAUACUUAUGUCAGGUAACCGACUUGGAGCAAUAAGAGUAAAAAAAAAUCAAGGUAUGCAUAAUAUAGGGUAUGGUAGAUAGGCUGAUAUCCUAAAGUUGUAUGUUCCGUAAUAUAUAUAUAUAUAUAUAUAUAUAUAUAUAUAUAUAUAUAUAUAUAUAUAUAUAUAUAUAUAUAUUACAUAAUACUAUGUAUAAAUAUAUUGUAUUAUUUAAUAUAUAUAUAUAUAUAUAAUAACAAAAAAUUAAGUAAAACAGAACAGAACUAUAAAAUGAAAAAAAUAGAUAAAUCUGAGUCCUUUGAAUUCACAAAGUCUCCUUAAAGCAAAUUUAUUCCCUCACUGGUGCUAAGGAUUAAUUGAAUAAUUUCUUCCCAAGAUAAAACGGAUUUCCAGUUCUUAAUUAGAAGCACUUCAAAAUUAAGAACACUUCGAACCAAAUUUUAUGUUAUGUACUAAACUUACAGUAAUGAUGCAUGAAAAAUAGUGCAUGAAUGGAUACACUUACACAGAAAUGGGAAAAAUAUUGCAGUACGGGACAAAAAAAUAUUGCAGUACGGGGACGGGAAAAAAUAUUGUAGAUUGCAGAACAGGACUUUGUUUUACAGAAACGGGAACGGGAAGGAACAAAACAGAGAACGGGGGAAAAUAACUUGUGUUAUUUUAGUGCGCCCAGAUGGAUUAUUUAUAGAAAUAAUUCUGCAGUUUAUCAGUUGGGUUAUUACCAUUGGCGUGAAAACCGUUCAAUACUACGUAGUAUCCACUACAAAAAAAAGGAGUCAUUGGCGACGGUCUCAAUACUGACGGCACAAUCCCCGUCGACAAUAACGUCAAUAUCGACGGCCUUGUCGUCGCCAAUGAUAGCCGUCGCUAAUGACCCUUUUUUGUCACCAGACACUCCCAGUGGAGGGAAAACCUCAUUGGCGACGGUGUUUAUUUUAGGGUCGACGGUGUUGCCAUCAGUAUUGAGUUAAUAGUGACGGGGUCAUUAUCGACGGGGGAUGCCAUCGAGAAUGACAAUUAAAACCUCUUCGACAGCAACGACUCUUUUUAUGAAAUUUUCUUCUCUAUUUUUCUUUCCUUCUCAAUAUCAGCCAUUUUCGCUCCUUAAUUUCCCCACGAAUCUCAAAUUGCAUUUAUUGAUUCUCUAAAGUUGACCCAUUUCACCCAUUUCGAUUUAUUCAUUCUGCUCUUUUGUUUUCUACUUCCCUUUCCCCGCAAUUCUGACUUCUCCUCUUGCCGUCGCCCUCUUCCUUCUUGUCGUCGCCCUCCGGCUGGUUCUUGUCGUCGCCACCAUCCUCUUUUCGCGCCAUUACAGUCCCUCUGUGUCUCUCUCGAGUGCAAGGUAUGUUUUCCUAAAUCCAAUUUUCCCCCAAAUGUAACCUAAUAAUCUAUGUUUCUACAAUUUCACUCUAUUUUUCCCCAAAUAUUAGUUGUUGUGUAUUACAAAUUUAUAGUUUACAAGUUUUUAUGAAAAUUUUAAUGUGACAUGAGAUACCCAAUUGCAGUGUAUUACUUCAUUCUUUCUGUUUGGUGCUGAACUGGGAUUUUCAUGGCUUAGUGACAUACAUCCAACUUGUGUUGAUAAAUUAUUGUGUUGAAGAAUUUAGUUAUUUCUUGAAUCAAAGUUCAGGUAUGCUCUGAUUUUACAUUAAUUUAGAAAUUUUCAGAGGGUAUAUGCGCUGACUUGCUUGGUAUAAUGGGUAUUAAUUAAUUUGUUUUUAGGUAUGUUCAAUCUCUGUCCUGUGAAUAUUUUAGUUAUAUGGCCAUAUCUAUCUUUGUGAAGAGUUAGAGAAAGAGAAAAAAAUAUUUAAUUUGGCUGUGGUGUUUAUUGAAAAAUAGAGUUAGCUGUAUAUUUGGUGGACAGUCAAUUGUAAAAGAUAUAUAUAAUAUGUUUUCAUAACUAAAGGAAUAUCUCGUUUUGUGUAAUAUUUGUGAAUAUAUAGGCAUAAAAUUUUUUAUACAGUUAAUUUAUACAAAUGAGAUUCCCCUGAAGGACAAAUGGUUGUGUGAAAGGAAACACUUGAUUAAGUGGCAUUCUCUCCGUACUAGUUUAGAGAAAUAUAUAACACUUUAUAAUUAUUAAUUUUACAUGUAUAAAGAGCAUUUAAACAUCAAUCAAAGUUUGAUACUAGCAUUUGAAGAUUUCUCAUAUAAUGGUUGUAUGUAAAUGUUGUGUAAUGUUCGUUUAUUGGGUUAUUGAAGAUUGCUCAACUUGGUAAAUAUAGUGAUUAUAAUAUCAUCUGGGAGUUUAAGAAAGUGAUCUUCUUUGUGUUUCUUUGAUUUCUUAUUCAUCCUUGAAGAACUGUCUUUUUUUCUUCAGUAAUCACUAUGAUCAAUUAAAUGUUUGUAUAUAUAUGGGAGAGAUUUAGGGGAAAUUAACUGUCUUUGUUUAUGGUUGUCAAGUGUUUGUGAGUAUGUUGUUAAAAAAAAUAUGAGUAAGGGUAAAAAUAACAGUUAUUCCAUGUGACUUGACAUGUGCAUAUUUUCAUAUAGUUUAGGAAGCUUAGAAACCCAUUUAAGAUUCACUUAGUAGGAGUGAAUCUCAAAUAGUCCCCAUUUUGGGACUGUUCUUGUAUUUUUCGAUCUCACUUAGGUCGGUGUUAACGGCUUGAGCACGUCUUUAUAUUUUUUGAAUUUUCGGUCAGUAUAUAUCUCUUGACGUUCUUCGGGUACAUAUUUAGACUAUGAUGUGUUAGUCUAUUUCGUGUACUUGAAGACCAUGGGGAGGUGCUGCUGAAAUUUCUGAAAAAUUUAAAGAUGUGUUCAAGUUGUUGGCAUCAGUGAGGCGACACAUCCGAGAAUGGGAUAAAAGCCUGACCCGUUAGAGUGGGAGAUGAAGUUAGGAAACUCAUAAGCUUGCAUAUACAUUAACUUGGAGACUUGAUUGUGUUUGUUUAACUUUUCAUAUUUAUAGCAGACAGUUGUCCAAGAUGUCUGUUGAUCGAAGUUGGAUGGAACUUAGGGUAGCCACUGAUAAGAGUGGGCUUAGCUCUGAGUAUCGUAGUGGGGUUGAACAGUUUCUCAAUUUCGCAUUUGAGCAAGUCAGCGGCGAUGAGAUUAGAUGUCCUUGUAAGAGGUGUGUGAAUGAAGUGUGGAAGGAAAUGAGUGAUGUCAUGUGUGACUUAUUUGCGUAUGGGUUCAAGAAGGGUUAUACGACAUGGAUCUAUUAUGGGGAAACCUGGUUGGAUGAACAUGAAUCAGAACCAGAAUCUAGAGGUGACGAAACCUUUAACUAUACUAACAUGAUAGUCGAAGCUACUGGUUCAUACUUCCAGUGGAAUACAGACAGGGAUGAUAGUAGCGUCGAGCAAGAGCCGAAUGACGGGGCUAAGGGUUUAUAUGAGUUAUUGCAUGAAGCAGCGACGCCACUAUAUGACGGGCACGAAAAGCACACCGUCUUAUCUGUCGUGACUAAGUUUUUACACUUUAAGAACGAGCAUGACUGUAGCGAGAGAGGUUUUAAUGAACUGUUAAGCAUUGUGAAGGAGUGCUUACCUGCAGGCAAUAAGUUACCGGAGUCGUACUAUGAUGUGAAGAAAAUGGUUAAAAGGCUCAAUUUAGGGUAUGAAAAGAUUGAUGCUUGUGAGAAUGACUGUAUGUUGUAUUACGGUGAUGUCAAUAAAGAUAAGAGGUCAUGUGAUAUUUGUGGUACAAGUAGAUACCGUGAACAGCGCAAGAAAAAGGGAAAAGACGUGCCGAGAAAGAUCUUACGUUACUUUCCCAUUUCCCCGAAGCUUCAGCGGUUGUUCAUGUCAACAUAUACCGCCGAGGAUAUGAGGUGGCACUCUACAUGGGACAUAGUCGAAGGUCAACUGACACACCCGGCAGAUGGGCUUUAGUGGAAAAAUUUUGAUAACAAGCACCCCUCGUUUGCUGAAGAGGUUCGCAAUGUUAGGCUUGGACUUGCUACGGAUGGGUUUAAUCCAUUUAACGGGCCUUACACAAAGCCCUACUCAACUUGGCCGGUGAUUAUUGUGGUGUAUAACCUCCCGCCAUGAAAGAUCCCUACAUGUUCAUGCCUUUACUGAUUCUGGGUGAUAAGAGUCUGAGUAAAGACAUCAAUGUAUACCUCAGGCCGUUAGUUGAUGAGUUGAAGAUGUUGUGGGAAAAAGGGGUUCAAACUUAUGAUGUAUCUCUUAAGCAGAACUUUGACAUGAAGGCAGCUUUACUGUGGACAAUAAAUGACUUCCCGGCAUUAGAAAUGAUCAGUGGAUGGUCGACUCAUGGGGGCUUGUCAUGUCCCGUGUGCAUGGGGUCAGUUAAAGUUAUGCGGCUCAAACAUGGGGGGAAAAUGAGUUUCUUUGCAACAUCCAGACAAUUUUUGCCGAUUGAACAUCGUUAUCGACGGAUGAGUAGACAACUCAAUCGAAAAAUAGAGUAACGUCAAGUACCUGGACGUCUUUCUGGGUCAGCAGUGUUGAGUUGGAUUAGUCAUUUGAAGUUUCCACCUCCAGGGAAGAAUCAUAGAUUAGAGCGAGCUUAUGGUUACAGAAAGGUUCACAACUGGACACACAGAUCCAUGUUCUUUGACCUGCCUUAUUGGGCUACACUCUGCAUCCGUCAUUAUAUAGAUCCAAUGCAUACUGAGGAGAACGUAUUUGAUAACAUUUUUUAUACAAUCCUAGAUGCCAGUGGUAGAACAAAGGACAACAACAAGUCGAGGCUUGAUUUGGUAGAAAUGAACAUUAGGGAAGAUUUGUGGCUGUAUCAGGAGGGUAGUAAGACGGUAACGCCUAAAGCUGAAUAUACUUUGACCAGGGAACAGUUGAUAUUGAUAUGUAAUUGGAUCAAUGGACUGAAGCUCCCAGAUGGAUAUUCUUCAAAUAUAUCAAGGUAUUGUAAAGUCGAAGAGUUGAAGUUUCAGGGUCUCAAAAGUCAUGAUUGUCACGUAUUCAUGCAGAAGUUGAUCCCUGUGGCAUUUAUCAACUUGUUACCGAAACGUGUGGUUGAAGCACUGACAGAGCUUUCUAAUUUCUUCAGAUAUCUAUGCUUAACGGUGCUUCAGCUCAAAGACAUAGAUAAAAUAGAGAUGCAGAUAGUGGAAAUAAUGUGCAAGUUAGAAAAGAUCUUCCCCCCAUCAUUUUUUGAUUCAAUGGAGCAUUUGCUGAUUCAUUUGCCAUACGAAGCUAAGUUUGGCGGUCCCGUACAAUAUAGAUGGAUGUAUCCAUUUGAGAGGUAAUGACAUUAAUGUUUUUAAUACGGUAAAAUGUUCAUUCUUUUUUGCUAAUCUAUAUACCACAUAGGUAUAUGCAACGUCUAAAGCAAAAGGUGAAGAAUAGAGCCCGUGUAGAGGGGUCAAUUGCUGAAAGUUAUGUUAUGGAGGAACUUGUUAAUUUUUGCUUGUUGUACUUUGAGCCGAAUGUUCAGACGAAGCACAAUCGCUUACGUCGGAAUCAAGCUGUUGCACACGAGGAAAAUGGAGAAUUAACGGCCUUUAGUCAUCCUGUACUCCCAUUCGGUGGUAAAAAAAGGCGCUUCUUGACCGAUAGUGAGUAUGCAGCUGCCACGUUAUAUGCACUUGUCAACAUGAAUGAAGUAGUGCCAUACAUUAUGUAAGUAGUCAUAACUAUAUAUGUCUGGUAUAAUUGUGUCAAGUUCCUUUACAAACACAUUGAGUAUAUAACUGUGCUACAGUCAAUAUGAUGCUGAAGUACGUGAAGCGAAUCCGAGUAUAUCGCACGGGGAUUUAUAAAAUUUGAGAAAUGGAGAAUUUGUGCAAUGGUUUAAAGAUCAUGUAAGUCUAACCUUUACAAGUUCAAUGAAUCUACCAUCAUAGAUUUAUUCUUAUGGCGUAAUUAACUUUAGAAUAUGUUGUAUUAAUGUACAUUAGGUCCUCACAGAUGAGUUAGCUGACAAUCGGCUAAAGCUUAUAGCCGAUGGCCCUAAAAGAUCUGUAGAUACUUAUACAUGCUGCAUUGUCAACGGUUACAGAUUUAAGUGUUGCGAUAUUGGGGAAGUCGCUUCUGCUGAUUCUGGUGUUGUGGUGAAAGGUAGCUGCUAUGAUAACAUUUGGGAUGACUGGUAUGGACGAUACCAUCACGCGAGCGGAUCUACCAGCUAGCUCAGGAGGUUAUCCACGGCUCUAUAGAUCCUACAUCCGCCAUUGACGACCUCAUGGGUGUAGUACGGGAGGAGGCAAUCCGCGUUUGUUCAGUUGUCUUGGCCAACAUCUUCCCACCACAUAUUCGACAGGUAAAAAUAAUUAAAUUCUGUAUUUCUUUAUUUAAUUUAUGUAAUUUAUAAUUAUAAUUUGUAAUUGUAUUUCUAUGACACGCAAACACACACAUAACACCGCGUAGGUAUUAGACACAUGUUAGAACUUACGGGGCUCGAUUCCGACAUACGAAAUCCGAGUUAUCGUCCAGUUUGCAAAACUCGCCAACAAUUAGGCAAAAAGCCGAAAAACAGCCCAAAACCCGCAUCGGUCGUCCGAAUGCCACGUAAACACACACAUAGCACCGCGUAGGUAUUAGACACGCGUUAGAACUUACGGGACUUGAUUCCGACAUAUAAAAUCCGAGUUAUCGCCCAGUUUACAAAACUCGCCAACACUUGGGCAAAAAGCCGAAAAUCAGCCCAAAACCCGCAUCGGCCAUCCGAAUGCCACGCAAACACACACAUAGCCCCACGUACGUAUUAGACACGCGUUAGAACUUACGGGACUCGAUUCUAACAUACGAAAUCUGAGGUAUCGCCCAGUUUGCAAAACUCGCCAAAACUUAGGCAAAAAGCCGAGAAACAGCCCAAAACCCGUAUCGGCCGUCCGAAUGCCACGCAAACACACACAUAGCACCGCAUAGGUAUUAGACACGCGUUAGAACUUAUGGGACUCAAUUACGACAUACGGAAUCCGAGUUAUCGCCCAGUUUGCAAAACUCGCCAACACUUAGGCAAAAAGCCGAAAAACAGUCUAAAACCCGCAUCGGGGGUCCGAAUGCCACGUAAACACACACAUAGAACCGCAUAGGUAUUAGACACAUGUUAGAACUUACGGGACUCAAUUCUGACAUACGGAAUCCGAGUUAUCGCCCAGUUUGCAAAACUCGCCAACACUUAAGCAAAAAGCCAAAAAUAGCCCAAAACCCGCAUCGGCCGUCCGAAUGCCAUGCAAACACACACAUAGUACCGCGUAGGUAUUAGACACGCGUUAGAACUUACGGGACUCAAUUCUGACAUACGGAAUCCGAGUUAUCGCCCAGUUUGCAAAACUCGCCAACACUUAGGCAAAAAGCCAAAAAACAGCCCAAAACCGGCAUCGGCCGUCCGAAUGCCACGCAAACACACACAUAGCACCGCGUAGGUAUUAGACACGCAUUAGAACUUACGGGACUCGAUUCUGACAUACGGAAUCCGAGUUAUCACCCAGUUUGCAAAACUCGCCAACACUUAGGCAAAAAGCCAAAAAAUAGCCCAAAACCCGCAUCGGCCGUCCGAAUGCCACGCAAACACACACAUAGCACCGCAUAGGUAUUAGACACGCGUUAGAACUUACGGGACUCGAUUCCGACAUACGGAAUCCGAGUUAUCGCCCAGUUUGCAAAACUCGCCAACACUUGACGAACACAAUCAAAACUAAUUUAAAUAUGUUCUAUUUUUGAAUUCGUUAUUAAUAUUUUAAUAUUAUAGGGUCUUGUUGAUGAGACUUCGGCGGGUGGAGGCUGUGGCACAAGAGAUGCCCGUGGUGGAGAUGGUGAUGAUCGUCGUUUUGAUGCUGAUGAGACUAUUGAGGGUGGGACCGGCAG